This 271-nucleotide ribosomal RNA is filed under the name uncultured Glomus. Its description in RNAcentral is "partial 18S ribosomal RNA". It matches the Rfam family "Eukaryotic small subunit ribosomal RNA", at positions 548 to 823 of the family's 1831-position model. Lineage: Eukaryota; Fungi; Glomeromycota; Glomeromycetes; Glomerales; Glomeraceae. The record is from RNAcentral.
UUGGAGGGCAAGUCUGGUGCCAGCAGCCGCGGUAAUUCCAAGCUCCAAUAGCGUAUAUUAAAGUUGUUGCAGUUAAAAAAGCUCGUAGUUGAAUUUCGGGAUCAGACUGUCGGUCGUGCCUCGGUACGCACUGGCAUUAUUGGUUCCUACCUUCUGAAGAACCGCGAUGUCAUUAAUUUGGUGUCGCGGGGAAUCAGGACUGUUACUUUGAAAAAAUUAGAGUGUUUAAAGCAGGCUUACGCUUGAAUACAUUAGCAUGGAAUAAUGAAAA